This 1433-nucleotide unclassified non-coding RNA is filed under the name Hevea brasiliensis (rubber tree). The record is from RNAcentral. Lineage: Eukaryota; Viridiplantae; Streptophyta; Magnoliopsida; Malpighiales; Euphorbiaceae.
CACAUGCAAAGUUUCAGCACAAAAUUGAGCUUCCUCAGCCUCUCCACUAGUAAGGAAGAGUGUUUCCUCGUAUUGCUCUUUCAAACCAUUCAACCCCAUUAUUGCACUCUCAGAUGCCUCACGAUAAAUGAAAGAUUGAACUCUAGUGGACCCACUCUCCUCCUGAGAGAUGCCAAAGCCUGGCAAUACAACAUUUCUGUCAUCAGAAGCCUGUUUAUCAUCCAACUUCUUGCCAGGGCACGCUUCAAACACAUCUGCAAUUUGUGAAUCAGAACAAGUGACCUCAGGGAGUACAUCUGUAGCAUCGUUAUCUUGAUCGACAUUCUCCAAACUAGGUUCAUCAAUGUUUUUUGAUAAUUCAGAUAUCUCCACCAAUUUUUCUUCCAGAUCACUCUCAUUUAACAUGAAAGUUUCAACAAGGUCGGCUGCAAUCUCUGCAUGGUCCAAUGAACUUAUCCUUACCACUCCAGCACCAUCAACUCCCCCUUGAUAACCAUCCUCCUUCAUUGACCUUCGUCCGAAAACAAGCCUAGAUACCCUUGACUGGUGGGAAUUACUCCCAGCCACAUCUCCAUUACUUGCAUCAAUCCGAUCACCAGAAUUCAAAUUAUUGCCCUCACAAUUGCAACUUUCGGACUUCAUUGUGCUCCUGAUUUUCUGGGAUCCCUCUUCCAUCUCAUCACUCGAAGAUGAAAGAUACGAUACAGAUUCACCUUCUUCUCCUUCAACCUCUCGAAGAAAGUAAGCUUCGCCUCUUUGAUCAAGAUACAUGUGAAAAUUUGCAUCAUUUCCAUUAACAGUAAUGGUAACCACCUUUUCUCUUGCCUUCAAAACCCCUUGAAAUUUCCCAAACCUGACAUACCAGGGUGAGGACUUGAAGCUCCCAUCUGGCUGCUCAACCACAAUGAUAUCCACAGCUCCACCAAAUGGGUGAAAUGGGCCAGAGACAGUGUACACACCUCGGGUGAUGUAGCUGCCUAGCCUCUCUACAGCAUACAUCUCAAGAAACUUGGAUUUCUUAGAUCACCCAAAACCCAAAUUCUCAAAAUACAAUCAUAACACAAGACUGUGAGGCUCUAUUAGUAUAAACAAAAACCAGUGAACUGGACAAACACCUAAGCCUUGCAGUAUCUCCAAAACUUCAAUUCUUGAAACCCUGUUCGAUUGAUUCGAACAGUGCUCUGCUUGACGACAGUUCUAGAAGUCACAGAUAACUGGAGAUUGAAGAACAAGAAAUUAAGAAGAAGAAGAAGUGAACGGUGAAUAACUGGAGAGAGGUACUAACGACGUCGUGGAAGAGGGGAUUGCCAGGCGGAUUGAAGGGAAAUGGAAGUUAAUAGGCGAUAUAAAAGAGACGUGAAAUGAUCAAAGAUGGAAUGGUGUCUCGUUGGGAACAGCUCAGGUCAUGGAUAGACCAUUUUUUUUUUCUAAUU